Molecule: long non-coding RNA, 615 nt
Organism: Vigna unguiculata (cowpea)
Lineage: Eukaryota; Viridiplantae; Streptophyta; Magnoliopsida; Fabales; Fabaceae
Source: RefSeq, a predicted model, not a curated record
CCAUGCCAAAGGUGAAGCGUUUCCGAAAUCCACAAAAAUCAUCACUUCAGCCUCCAACUAAUUCUUUACCAUCAACAAAUCCUGCACCAACAAAUGAAACCUCAUCACACACUUCAAUGAGCACAACACCACCAAUAGAUUCCUCAUUACCCACUGAGAACUCACAGCAACCUGAAACAUCUACAAAACAUGCUCGACGUGAAUCUUCAUCAUAUUAGACUGUUCAUGCAAUAGACUUAGAAGGAGUUAUCAAGAAAAUUAAGGUGAAGGUCAGAGAAGUAAAUAACUUACCUCGUGGGGAACGCAUCAUUGUGGACUUUGAUGAGUUAGUCAUGGCAAUUGGUGAAGGACAAGGCGUGCUUGCAGGAUAUUGUGGUUCAUUGGCAAUUGAUUGUAAUUUGUUUCCAAUUAAUUUUGAAAGAUGGUCUGGGAAAACAGGCAUGCCUGACACUUACUUUUUCGAAUGCUUUAAGGAAAUAUUACAGCCUCGGUUUUGUUUUAAGACUGGUGAAGCUAGUGCACAACGGUAUUGCAAACUAACUCUUGGUAGGAAGUGGGCUGCACAUAGGCAGAAUUUAUGGAAUGAGUUCUAUGAUCUAACAAAAAGCAAAAAUG